UAAACAAAACCAAUCAUCUUAAAGACUUC
This 29-nucleotide non-coding RNA is filed under the name Mus musculus (house mouse). The record is from RNAcentral. Lineage: Eukaryota; Metazoa; Chordata; Mammalia; Rodentia; Muridae.